RNAcentral lists this long non-coding RNA (199 nucleotides) under Gossypium barbadense (sea-island cotton). Its description in RNAcentral is "long non-coding RNA (GBAR_LNC000160)". The record is from RNAcentral. Lineage: Eukaryota; Viridiplantae; Streptophyta; Magnoliopsida; Malvales; Malvaceae.
AAAACCAAUGAUGAAGAACUCUAAUCAAAGUAAAAUCUUCGCCUGAUUCAAGGGUUUGAUCAUCUAUAUAAAGAUGAAUUUCAAUGAUCUUUAAUAAAUUGGUUAUAGUUACAAACAAUCGCCUAGUAACUAAUCUUUUCUUAUUUUCUCGAUAAUCAAGACAAUAGUCAGUAAUUACUUUUCUUAUUGACAAUUAACC